CAGUAGCCGCGGGAAUACGUAGGUGGCAAGCGUUGUCCGGAAUUAUUGGGCGUAAAGCGCGCGCAGGCGGAUCAGUUAGUCUGUCUUAAAAGUUCGGGGCUUAACCCCGUGAUGGGAUGGAAACUGCUGAUCUAGAGUAUCGGAGAGGAAAGUGGAAUUCCUAGUGUAGCGGUGAAAUGCGUAGAUAUUAGGAAGAACACCAGUGGCGAAGGCGACUUUCUGGACGAAAACUGACGCUGAGGCGCGAAAGCCAGGGGAGCGAACGGGAUUAGAUACCCGUGUAGUCCCUGUCUCUUAUACA
Molecule: ribosomal RNA, 301 nt
Filed under: uncultured bacterium
Lineage: Bacteria
Description: partial 16S ribosomal RNA
Rfam family: Bacterial small subunit ribosomal RNA
Source: RNAcentral